This 855-nucleotide ribosomal RNA is filed under the name Escherichia coli. RNAcentral's name for it is "bacterial SSU rRNA". It matches the Rfam family "Bacterial small subunit ribosomal RNA", at positions 666 to 1533 of the family's 1533-position model. Lineage: Bacteria; Pseudomonadati; Pseudomonadota; Gammaproteobacteria; Enterobacterales; Enterobacteriaceae. The record is from RNAcentral.
UUCCCAGGUGUAGCGGUGAAAUGCGUAGAGAUCUGGAGGAAUACCGGUGGCGAAGGCGGCCCCCUGGACGAAGACUGACGCUCAGGUGCGAAAGCGUGGGGAGCAAACAGGAUUAGAUACCCCUGGUAGUCCACGCCGUAAACGAUGUCGACUUGGAGGUUGUGCCCUUGAGGCGUGGCUUCCGGAGCUAACGCGUUAAGUCGACCGCCUGGGGAGUACGGCCGCAAGGUUAAAACUCAAAUGAAUUGACGGGGGCCCGCACAAGCGGUGGAGCAUGUGGUUUAAUUCGAUGCAACGCGAAGAACCUUACCUGGUCUUGACAUCCACGGAAGUUUUCAGAGAUGAGAAUGUGCCUUCGGGAACCGUGAGACAGGUGCUGCAUGGCUGUCGUCAGCUCGUGUUGUGAAAUGUUGGGUUAAGUCCCGCAACGAGCGCAACCCUUAUCCUUUGUUGCCAGCGGUCCGGCCGGGAACUCAAAGGAGACUGCCAGUGAUAAACUGGAGGAAGGUGGGGAUGACGUCAAGUCAUCAUGGCCCUUACGACCAGGGCUACACACGUGCUACAAUGGCGCAUACAAAGAGAAGCGACCUCGCGAGAGCAAGCGGACCUCAUAAAGUGCGUCGUAGUCCGGAUUGGAGUCUGCAACUCGACUCCAUGAAGUCGGAAUCGCUAGUAAUCGUGGAUCAGAAUGCCACGGUGAAUACGUUCCCGGGCCUUGUACACACCGCCCGUCACACCAUGGGAGUGGGUUGCAAAAGAAGUAGGUAGCUUAACCUUCGGGAGGGCGCUUACCAAUUUGGAUUCAUGACUGGGGCAAUUGGAACCAGAACAAGGCAGAGAACGAUAAGCCGCAAA